UAGAGUUUGAUCAUGGCUCAGAUUGAACGCUGGCGGCAGGCCUAACACAUGCAAGUCGAGCGGAUGAAGAGAGCUUGCUCUCUGAUUCAGCGGCGGACGGGUGAGUAAUGCCUAGGAAUCUGCCUGGUAGUGGGGGACAACGUCUCGAAAGGGACGCUAAUACCGCAUACGUCCUACGGGAGAAAGCAGGGGACCUUUGGGCCUUGCGCUAUCAGAUGAGCCUAGGUCGGAUUAGCUAGUUGGUGAGGUAAUGGCUCACCAAGGCGACGAUCCGUAACUGGUCUGAGAGGAUGAUCAGUCACACUGGAACUGAGACACGGUCCAGACUCCUACGGGAGGCAGCAGUGGGGAAUAUUGGACAAUGGGCGAAAGCCUGAUCCAGCCAUGCCGCGUGUGUGAAGAAGGUCUUCGGAUUGUAAAGCACUUUAAGUUGGGAGGAAGGGCAGUAAGCGAAUACCUUGCUGUUUUGACGUACCGACAG
This 481-nucleotide ribosomal RNA is filed under the name Pseudomonas sp. 01WB02.4-33. RNAcentral's name for it is "bacterial SSU rRNA". It matches the Rfam family "Bacterial small subunit ribosomal RNA", at positions 1 to 484 of the family's 1533-position model. The record is from RNAcentral. Lineage: Bacteria; Pseudomonadati; Pseudomonadota; Gammaproteobacteria; Pseudomonadales; Pseudomonadaceae.